Long non-coding RNA from Felis catus (domestic cat), 1962 nucleotides. RefSeq lists it as uncharacterized. The transcript is spliced from 3 exons. The record is from RefSeq and is a predicted model, not a curated record. NCBI's taxonomy places the organism in Eukaryota, Metazoa, Chordata, Mammalia, Carnivora, Felidae.
GAUGAGAUGGUGACCUGAGCCAAAGUCAGACGCUUACCUGACUGAGCCAUCCAGGCACCCCAACUUAGAUUCAUAUAUUUAGGGAUAACCACUGCUAGCAUGAUGAUGUCUCGUUUAGUUAAUAUCUCAUAAACAUAUUCUUGCUACAAAAUAUUAUGACAUAACAUUAUAUUUAAGGAUUAUAUACUGUAUCAUUGUAUGAGUCUAGCAUCUUUUAGUUAACCAAUCUCCUAUUUUUGGACAUUUACUUUUUUUAACUAUUCAUUAUUGAAAACAAUGCAGCAAUUACCCUUGAAGGCAAAUCUUUGUGUACAUUCAUAAUUAUUUCCUUAAGAUAAUUUCUUAAAAGUAGAACUUCAGGACCAAAGGAUAGGCAAAGCAUUAGGACUUUUUUCUUUCUGGAAAAAUUUUACCAAUACUUUAAGGCCCAACAGCGAAAUGAGAGUUACUCUACCCCCUGCCAACAUUGAGUGUUAUCAAUCAAUGUCCAAGUAAUUAUCAAUUCUAUAGGAGAAAAAUAAUAUUUUGCUCUAUUUUUCAUUGUUUAAAGUCACUAUGAGGCCAGACAUCUUUUCAUAGUUUAUCAGCCAUUUGUAUUUCUCUUUUCAUUACAUUUUGAGAAGCAAAAUUUUAAACAAUUUUUCAUUCAGUCUAAGCAAUACCAAAUAUCUUGAUGAUAGAUUAACAAAAAAGUUUCAGAUAUUUUUUCCUGGAGUCCUUCUCCUUUAUUUAGAUGACAAGCCGUAGAAUUUUAAGGUUGAAGGGUACCUUAAUGUUUGACACAUACCUGUGUAGCUUUGGUAACUUGGUGGGUUUUUCUGCUCUGAAUGGACAUGCACAUGAUGGGCACUAAAUUAAUGGAGAAAUGUGAAAUGAAUGACUAAUAAGACCUUUUUCUGACCUCACUGAGAACUAAAAUGUUGAGUUGUCAGGUUAUUUGUGGCUACAAAAAUAAUACUGGCAAAUAGUCUGGGGCUAUCAAAUUCAGUUCCGUCUGUAAUUGAAUUAGAGACCCACAUCCUUUUCUCCAAGGAGAUUGGUGUACCAAACACUGCCUUUGACAGUGUUUAGUAUUACACAAGAUUUCAGCCAAUGAACAAAGUUUCUAUUUAUGGAAAAUGUCAAGGGUGAUAAGCAUGAAAGAGUAGUAAUAUCAUUAUUUUCUAUCUAACUUACUUAAUAAUUGGAUAUGAACAGUGAGAAAAUUUCUGCCAAACAAAUACAAAUGUUCUGUCCUAAUAAAUUGAGUUAAAGUUUCAAAGGUUUGUGGAAUCCUAAAAAUCCAAAACCAAUGCAAAACGAACACUUCAGAUGGGGCAAUUAUAGGUAGAAAGUCCCAUGGAAAUGUGCACAGGUUUUAUGUCAAAAAGAAAAGCAUUCUUGAACAGCUAGUCCUCCCCUGCAUGGGGCUGGUGUAUUUUUGAGAAUUUGCAUAUUGUCACUUCCAAAAGGAAUAUUUUGUGGUCUCUUCCAGUUGCUUCCAUCCCUGCAUGCUCACGUGCACGUGCGCACACUUGUUCCAGGAUUGUAGUUCCUGGACUCUGAAUUCCUCAGCGUCACAGAGUUUGCAUGUCCCAUCUACAACCCUGAGUCUGGCAUAGCCCAGUUGCUCACCAAAUGUGCAUGAUGGAAUGAAAAAACAAACCUGCCAAAGCAUACCAGAAUAAAGGGUUCAGGCCCCAGAAGUUACAUUCUUGGAGAAGAAUUUGAAUCCUCAGGACUAAGAAAAUAAAAUCUGGCCCAGGUUGUUGUGUUCUUGAAGUCAUUCUUUGGUUUAUUUGGCAUAAUGAAAUCUAUAACGUCUCGUCUUUAAAUAACUAACUUCACUGAAACCCUUGUCAGCUUUAAUAGGAUUCAGGUGAGGGAAUUUUUGUUUCCUUGGCAUUGGAAUUCCAACUCUUCUGUAGAUUAUUUAAAAAGCAUCUCAGUCUCCAUUGCAGUGCCAACCAAUAUAAACACAAU